Molecule: ribosomal RNA, 292 nt
Filed under: uncultured bacterium
Lineage: Bacteria
Description: partial 16S ribosomal RNA
Rfam family: Bacterial small subunit ribosomal RNA
Source: RNAcentral
GUGUCAGCAGCCGCGGUAACACGUAGGGGGCGAGCGUUGUUCGGAAUUACUGGGCGUAAAGGGCAUGUAGGCGGCCUUGUAAGCCUGGCGUGAAAGUCACCGGCUCAACCGGUGGAUUGCGUCGGGAACUGCAGGGCUUGAGUCACGGAGGGGAAGGUAGAAUUCCUGGUGUAGGGGUGAAAUCUGUAGAGAUCAGGAAGAAUACCAGUGGCGAAGGCGACCUUCUGGCCGAUGACUGACGCUGAGGUGCGAAAGUGUGGGGAUCAAACAGGAUUAGAAACCCGCGUAGUCC